CGAGUAGGCGGAUGUUUAAGUCCGGUGUGAAAGAACAGGGCUCAACCCUGAGAGUGCAUCGGAAACUGGGCAUCUUGAGGACAGGAGAGGAAAGUGGAAUUCCACGUGUAGCGGUGAAAUGCGUAGAUAUGUGGAGGAACACCAGUGGCGAAGGCGACUUUCUGGACUGUAACUGACGCUGAGGAGCGAAAGCGUGGGGAGCAAACA
RNAcentral lists this ribosomal RNA (207 nucleotides) under uncultured Peptococcaceae bacterium. RNAcentral's name for it is "partial 16S ribosomal RNA". It matches the Rfam family "Bacterial small subunit ribosomal RNA", at positions 568 to 774 of the family's 1533-position model. The record is from RNAcentral. Lineage: Bacteria; Bacillati; Bacillota; Clostridia; Eubacteriales; Peptococcaceae.